Molecule: non-coding RNA, 27 nt
Filed under: Mus musculus (house mouse)
Lineage: Eukaryota; Metazoa; Chordata; Mammalia; Rodentia; Muridae
Source: RNAcentral
UACAUGUUCAUGUGGAUCUGGGCGCCC